This 73-nucleotide transfer RNA is filed under the name Drosophila grimshawi. Its description in RNAcentral is "tRNA-Ile". Lineage: Eukaryota; Metazoa; Arthropoda; Insecta; Diptera; Drosophilidae. The record is from RNAcentral.
GAUCCAUUAGCUCAGCUGGUUAGUGUGCCGUGCUAAUAACGCGGAGGUCGUGGGUUCGUCCCCCCAUGAGUUA